RNAcentral lists this transfer RNA (117 nucleotides) under Candidatus Woesearchaeota archaeon. Its description in RNAcentral is "tRNA-Arg". It matches the Rfam family "tRNA". Rfam says of the family: Transfer RNA (tRNA) molecules are approximately 80 nucleotides in length. Their secondary structure includes four short double-helical elements and three loops (D, anti-codon, and T loops). Further hydrogen bonds mediate the characteristic L-shaped molecular structure. tRNAs have two regions of fundamental functional importance: the anti-codon, which is responsible for specific mRNA codon recognition, and the 3' end, to which the tRNAs corresponding amino acid is attached (by aminoacyl-tRNA synthetases). tRNAs cope with the degeneracy of the genetic code in two manners: having more than one tRNA (with a specific anti-codon) for a particular amino acid; and 'wobble' base-pairing, i.e. permitting non-standard base-pairing at the 3rd anti-codon position. The record is from RNAcentral. Lineage: Archaea; Nanobdellati; Candidatus Woesearchaeota.
GCGCCUGUAGCUCAGCUGGAUACCUCCAAAAACUCGUUUUGGACGGGUUUUGGCUAAGCCAAAAAGAGCGAAAGGUUCCUAACCUUUAGGCCCGGGGUUCAAAUCCUCGCAGGCGCG